UGGAGCAUUCCGGAAGUUCAGAGGUCAACUUCUGUGGAGCAUUCUGGAAGUUCAGAGGUUAAGCCUUUCUGUCAUCACUUCCACUCAAACCACUGGAAGGAAGGACUGUAUGCCAAAUCUCAACUUUCCUGAAUAGUACAUUGUUUCCUGGUCGGGAAGAAGUCUUGGUAAUGAACAGACAAUUUAUUGACUUCAGGAUUCUAUGAGUAACAGAAAUAUGGAAAGACAGGAUAUUUAUCAAUUAGGCAUCAACCUCAAGGCAAAGUUCCAUAUCUUAUUCAUUCAUCUGUCUUUGAAUUGAGAAUGAGAUGGCUUGGAUGCCAUUGGGUCCACUAUGUAACAUCCUGUUUUGAUUCGAAAAAAUGAUUUCAGAUGUUUCCCAACAGAAAAUAAACCUUCAUGACUAGGGUGCCUUACAAAGCAGGUUGUGGGAGAAAGAGAAGUCAAAUAAGAUUUCAAGACUUUCAGCUGUCAGAAAUAGGUAAAUUAUUUGCCAUUUUAUCAAGAGCAGCAAGGGUGAAGAUAGAUUUUAUGGGAGGGAAUUAGAUGCUGUGUUUUUGACAUGCUGAAUUCUGAGUGUCAGUUAGUCAUGCAUGGUAAUGGCACCUAGGUGUCUUAGUUAGGGUUUCUAUUGCUGUGAAGAGACACCAUGACCAUAGCAACUCUUACAAAGGAAAAUAUUUCAUAGGUUUAGUCCUUUAUCAUCAUGGCAGUGUGCAGGCAGACAUGCUGCUAGAGAGGUGGCUGAGAGUUUUUACAUCUUGAUUCACAGACAAUAGAAAGUAUAUGUCUUACUGGACAUGAUUUGAGCAUAUAUAAGGCCGAAAAGCCCACCUCCACAAUGGCACAUUUCCUCCAACAAGACCACCUAUGCUAACAAGAUCAUUCCUCCUAACAGUGCUGUUCCCUUUGGGAGUCAUUUUUUAAAACCACCACAAUAGGCAGAACCAUAUAUGACUAUUUGCCUUUCAGCUGGGAAAGCAAGAUGGAGAUGGUGAAAGUCACCAGAGCACAGAUAGCAAUUAAAACCACAUCUCUGAGUAUGACCAUUUGAAUAUGAACAUAGAUUAAAUACGUGUUUUGGAAGUGAGCUGCAGAACACACAAACUAGAGGUCAGCAAGUAAGACUGGGCUAGAAAAGGAAACUGAGAGGGGUUGAUCUGGGGCCACAAGCAAACCAGAACUUGUGGCCACCCAAAGCUCAAGCAACAGUGUUCCAAGGAGAGAAGAGGAUUAUAGCAAAUGAUUUCAGGAGAUCUCAACAAGGUAAGGAAUGGUAAGAUCAUCAGAUUUGUAGGUAUAAAAACUCCUGCCAACCUCAGCAAGAAAGGUCACAGUAGACUAGGGGCCGACCAAAAUGGGUUCUCUAAGAAAAGGGAAAAGGGGUAGAGAUUAUGAACUUAGAAUGGAUUUCUAAAGCUUGUUAGUAACACAGACAAGGAGCAAUUGCAGGCUCACUGCCCCUACAAGCUUUUUUUACACACUGGACCAACAAACUCUGGUCUAGCAAUCUGUCUUAAAUACAUGGUGAGAAAUUUGGAUUGUGUUUUAUAUUUAAAGAUGCUUAUGAUACUGCUAUUUAAAUGACUGAAAAUUGGAUAUGAGUUACUAGAAUAGGAAAGCUAAGCAGUUUGUUAUGGUUAUAGUGUAUCAGUGAUGUGGAAUAGUAAACAGUUUCAAAUUAUGAAUUCAAAUCAUUCACGAUGUUGAUAAAGAGAUUGCUGAGGAGGGAACAUAAGUAGUAAUAUAGAAACAAAAGCAGACAAAAAUAAAAUAUAGAAACAAGUAUAAAAAGGGACCAUCAUGUCUCCACAGCAGAAUUGUAAAUUUCAAUACUUUCCUAAUUUUUUCUCUCCUCAGUGCAUAAACCUGUAUGGGUUCAAUGAGGCUGUAUUAUCUCUAACAUCUGUUAUUUACUUUACACCACCCUGGUCAGUCUGGCUGGACAGUGCUUCUAUGCAAUGUAAACUUAGAUAUAAUUAGACUAGCCUGCAAGUGUCUCUCUUCUUUUUGACUGUAAUAAUUAUGGCUAUAAAUGAAAGAAUUUCAAAAUGAGACAGUAUUUUGACUUUUGCUGCUCUGAGUGGAGCUAGAUUCAUAGGCUCUGAUGUACUAAGAAAUCUGUCUCAUAUCUUGGCAUUGCCUUUCUCCAUCUCUCUUCUUUUUCAUUUUAUCAUGAUAUCUUAGUUAGGGUUUCUGUUAUUGUAAUAAAGCACCAUGACCAAAAUCAAUUUGGGUUUAUUUUUCUUACAUCUAGGUAACAGUUAGUUCCUGAGGGAAGUCAGGGAAGAACUCAAGGCACGGCAAGAACCUGGAGGCAGGGAAAGCAGAGGCUGUGAAGGAGUCCUAUUUACUGCCUUGCUUGAAUGACUUGCCAGCCUGAUUCCUAAAGCAUCCAGGACUACCAUCCCAGGGAUGGUGCUGCUCACAAGGGGCUGGACACUUCCACAUUAAGCGUCAGUCAAGAAAAUGCCCCAUUGGCUUGCCCACAGAACUUGAUAAGACUUUAUUUUUGAAGAUAUCACAAACUCACAUCAUAGAACACGGAGCAAUCAAGCUGUUAUUGAUCUGGAAGCAUCAUCUCUCCUGGCAAGAUUUCAGAAUGCUGAAAGAGGAUGAGAACCUGUGGAUUCAUUCCAGUCUAAUAUGGUAUGGUGGACUGAAACCCCCUGAAAGGUUGCUGUGAACACCACCACAAAGAAAAUACUUCGCCCAAUAAACAGCAGGAAACAGUUUGGAGAGAAAAAAACUAUGCCCAUAUUCCCAAAUAUUGCUUAUAAUUUAAAAGGGGAUAUGCUAUAGAGAUGAAUUUUUUACAUCAGUUUGGAUCUUGCUUUAGUGAUACAAAUUUAAGGUCAAUUUUGAUAUAUAUAUAUUUCUGAUCUUGAUUAAGGUAUUGUGUUUGUGUAGCUUAUUUGAAAAUGUAAUGUAUA
Molecule: long non-coding RNA, 2933 nt
Organism: Arvicola amphibius (Eurasian water vole)
Lineage: Eukaryota; Metazoa; Chordata; Mammalia; Rodentia; Cricetidae
Exons: 3
Source: RefSeq, a predicted model, not a curated record